RNAcentral lists this ribosomal RNA (497 nucleotides) under uncultured bacterium. Its description in RNAcentral is "partial 16S ribosomal RNA". It matches the Rfam family "Bacterial small subunit ribosomal RNA", at positions 28 to 507 of the family's 1533-position model. The record is from RNAcentral.
GACGAACGCUGGCGGCGUGCUUAAUACAUGCAAGUCGAGCGAAAAGGCCAGGCGCUUGUGGGGUUCUCGUUUGGCGAACGGGGGAGUAACACGCGAGUAAAAUCCACCUGACAGAGUGAUAACAUUUGGGAAAAGCGGCGAUAACACCGGAGAAUAUCUUGAAGCAUAUUGUUGGAAAGAGAAAGACGGUCGUGGUGGCACGUAUAGAUGGAUACGGGCUGGAUUAGCUGGUUGGUAAGGUAACGGCUUACCAAGGGAACUAUGCAUAGCCGACGUGAGAGGGUGAUCGGCCACACGGGAACGGGGACACGGUCCAUGCGCCUACGAGACGCAGCAGUAGGGAAUCUUCCGCAAUAGGCGAGAGCCUGACGCAGCAACGCCGCGUGAGUGAUGAAGGUCUUCGGAUCGUAAAGCUCUGUUAUGAGUGAAGAACAUAUGUGUAAGUAACUGUGCACAGCGUGACGGUAACUAAUCAGAAAGCCACGGCUAACUACGUG